GACGAACGCUGGCGGCGUGCCUAAUACAUGCAAGUAGGACGCAGUUGCGAAAGGGUGAGUAACGCGUAGGUAACUACCUAUUAGAGGGGGAUAACUAUUGGAAACGAUAGCUAAUACCGCAUACUAGUAGAUGGAACUGCGUUGUAUUUGGUAGUAGGUAGGGUAAUGUCCUACCUAGGCAACGAUACAUAGCCUACCUGAGAGGGCGAGCGUGCACGCUGGGUCUGACACACGGGCCCGAACCCUCCGGGAGGCAGCAGUAGGGAAUCUUCGGCAAUUGGGGGAACCCUUGCCGCUCAACGCCGCGUUAGGUGAUAAGGGUUUGGGAUCUUAAAGCUCUUUUGUUAAGGAAGCGGUACUUAACCAGAAAGGGACGGCUAACUACGUGCCAGCAGCCGCGGUAAUUC
This 407-nucleotide ribosomal RNA is filed under the name uncultured bacterium. RNAcentral's name for it is "partial 16S ribosomal RNA". It matches the Rfam family "Bacterial small subunit ribosomal RNA", at positions 28 to 526 of the family's 1533-position model. The record is from RNAcentral.